RNAcentral lists this ribosomal RNA (253 nucleotides) under uncultured bacterium. RNAcentral describes it as "partial 16S ribosomal RNA". It matches the Rfam family "Bacterial small subunit ribosomal RNA", at positions 524 to 776 of the family's 1533-position model. The record is from RNAcentral.
UACGUAGGGUGCGAGCGUUAAUCGGAAUUACUGGGCGUAAAGCGUGCGCAGGCGGUUCGUUGUGUCGGUGGUGAAAGCCCCGGGCUUAACCUGGGAAUGGCCAUGGAAACUGGCGAACUGGAGUGUGGCAGAGGGGGGUGGAAUUCCGCGUGUAGCAGUGAAAUGCGUAGAGAUGCGGAGGAACACCGAUGGCGAAGGCAGCCCCCUGGGCUAGCACUGAUGCUCAGGCACGAAAGCGUGGGGAGCAAACAGG